RNAcentral lists this long non-coding RNA (264 nucleotides) under Lathyrus oleraceus (garden pea). Its description in RNAcentral is "Pisum sativum (pea) long non-coding RNA (PSAT_LNC023205)". The record is from RNAcentral. Lineage: Eukaryota; Viridiplantae; Streptophyta; Magnoliopsida; Fabales; Fabaceae.
AAUGCCGUUCAUUCUCCCUCUUAGAUGGAGCAUGUGGAUACGGAAGGUUUUGGAUUGGAGUAGAGCCCACUACCUCCUUUCUUUUAGAAACUCUAGAAUUCCUCUCUCUUUUCUUUUUUACUCCCUCCACCAUCACUUCAUCACUCUUAUUUUUUUCGACUUCCACACUUUCUUUAUUUUCUACUUCACCAUUUUUUUCAUUUUUUUCAACUUCUUCCUCACUCCACUCCCCAACUUCACCAUCAAUGCUAUCCUCUAUUUUUU